GACCCUGGUAGUCCACGCUGUAAACGAUGUCGACUUGGAGGUUGUUCCCUUGAGGAGUGGCUUCCGGAGCUAACGCGUUAAGUCGACCGCCUGGGGAGUACGGCCGCAAGGUUAAAACUCAAAUGAAUUGACGGGGGCCCGCACAAGCGGUGGAGCAUGUGGUUUAAUUCGAUGCAACGCGAAGAACCUUACCUACUCUUGACAUCCAGAGAACUUAGCAGAGAUGCUUUGGUGCCUUCGGGAACUCUGAGACAGGUGCUGCAUGGCUGUCGUCAGCUCGUGUUGUGAAAUGUUGGGUUAAGUCCCGCAACGAGCGCAACCCUUAUCCUUUGUUGCCAGCGGUUCGGCCGGGAACUCAAAGGAGACUGCCAGUGAUAAACUGGAGGAAGGUGGGGAUGACGUCAAGUCAUCAUGGCCCUUACGAGUAGGGCUACACACGUGCUACAAUGGCAUAUACAAAGAGAAGCGACCUCGCGAGAGCAAGCGGACCUCAUAAAGUAUGUCGUAGUCCGGAUCGGAGUCUGCAACUCGACUCCGUGAAGUCGGAAUCGCUAGUAAUCGUGGAUCAGAAUGCCACGGUGAAUACGUUCCCGGGCCUUGUACACACCGCCCGUCACACCAUGGGAGUGGGUUGCAAAAGAAGUAGGUAGCUUAACCUUCGGGAGGGC
Molecule: ribosomal RNA, 668 nt
Filed under: bacterium sp. R2A-39
Lineage: Bacteria
Description: bacterial SSU rRNA
Rfam family: Bacterial small subunit ribosomal RNA
Source: RNAcentral